UUUGGCUGUGACGCCGCUCCGGCUUUUCUCCCGCUAGAGCUCAACUAAGACAUAAGAUGGCGGCGUGCGUGCGGAGGAAAAGUACUGCUGGCCUACCAGGUGUGGAAAGCAGCCAAAGAGCAAAUCUGAGGAAAGUACAGAAGCUCGCCAACUUUUGUUUUGUGAAAUGGGAAAAGGGGUCAAUUCUAUAAUCAACUUCCCACUUCAAGAAACUAAAAAAGAAAAAAAAAGCAUAAUUAACCCCAAACCAGCUAAAGGAAGGAAAUAAUAAGAUGCAUUUAGUCACUUAAGAGAGACAGAGCAGGAGGAGAGGCAGAAGGAGAGAAUCUCCAAGCAGACUCCCUGCCAAGCACGGAACCGGAUCAAUCCCACAACUCAUGAGAUCAUAACCUGAAUGGAAACCAAGAGUGGGAUGCUUAACCGACAGUCAUCCACGCGCCCCAAAUUAACAUUUGUUAAGUAAAACCCUUGGGAUGUUUGAUGGUGAGCCCAGGUGCUAUAAGAGACCACAAGGAAAAUUGGAAAUAGAGAGUUCAUUACUCACAGGUCCUUGGAGGUAAGUACACCACGCAUCUUGAGGAGCCACAUGAAGAAGUCAAGACGGUGCAGGUAGACGGCAGGUCAGGACCUGGGGCACAUACCUUUGUUAGGGUUUGUAGGUAGUGCUUUGGGAUUUCUGGGCUAAGACUGGAUUGGUCGAUUCAAGCCUAGAAAUGCAAGGUUUUGGUAAGCUUUUCAGGGGUCUAAUACAAGGGUUGCACAAGGGAAAAGCCCUGGGAGGCAAGGGAGACUAUCACAGCGCCAUUGGGGAAGUUGUAUCAGGACUAACAUAGUUGUGACUGUGUAGGUUGUUAUCUAGGGCAUGUGUUUGCAUGAAGAGCAAAUGUCAGUUUAAGGCCCCUUCAGGCCUGUUUAGCCAAACAAAAUGGAUGCUGAGGCAGCAAUAUAGAGAAGCUUAGCUAAAUUUUUCAUAUGUGUAAUCACUUAGGAAUAAAAAAAGAAUGAAAUUCAUACAACAACUUGGGUGAAUCUCCAGAGAAUUAUGCCAGGUGAAAAAAUCCAAUUGUAGAAGGUAUUAUUUAUAUAGUAUUCUGAAAAUGACAGAAUCAUAGAAAUGGAAAAUAGAGUAGUGGUUAUUAAGUUUCAGGGAUGGGGUUGGGUUCAGAAGGGUGAUGAGUUGUAAGAUCACAUGAAAUAUCUUUGUGUUAAAGAAAGUGCUCUGGGGGCACCUGGGUGGCUCAGUCAGUUAAGCCUCUGCCUUCGCUCAGAUCAUGAUCCCUGGAUCCAAUCCCUGAGUCAGGCUCCCUGCUCAGCAAGGAGUCUGUUAAUCACCACCUUCUGUCCCCUGCCCCCCACCCCUGCUCAUGUACUCUCUUGCCCAUUCACUCUCUCAAAUAAAUAAAAUUAAAAAAAAAAAAGUCUGCAUCUUGACUAUUAAUAAAAAUAUCCUGGUGGUGGUGGUGAUAUUGUAGUUUGGUUUUGUAAGCUGUUGCUGUUGGAGUAAUGUGGGUAGACAGUAAAAGGGUUAUCUUUGUAUUAUUUCUAAGAACUGCAUAUGAAUGUACAUUUAUCUUAAAAUUACAGGUUUAAUUAUAAAAAUCUCUGGUCUUGAAUUACUGAUUUAUCAAACCUUUAUAGAUUUCAAGUUAUCUGGACAAGGUUUCAUUUUAUUUUUUUUUGUAACUUUUUUUUAAAAGAAAACUUUUUUUUUUAAGAUUUUAUUUGUCAGAGAGAGAGAGAGCAUGCGAAUGAGCACAAGCAGGAAGAGUGGCAAGCAGAGGGAGAAGGUAGGCUUCCCACUGAGCAAGGAGCCCAAUACAGGACUUGACCCCAGGACCCUGGCAUCAUGACCUGAGCCAAAGGCCAACCCUUAACUGACUGAGCCACCUGGGCAUCCCAAGGCUUCAUUUUCAGUGUGCAAGUAUAGUAUCAUCUUAAUGUCUGAAACUCAGCUGUUUAGCCAGUUAAUGUGUUUUGAACACAGCUCAAAAGUAGAAUAAAAAGCAUUUUGAGUAAAAGAGGUACAGCAGUGUCUGCACUAGAGCUCAUAUUGAAUUCAUUUCAGUGAAUCUCACCUGGAACCUUGAUAUAUAAUUCUAAUAAAUCUGGUUUCCAGGUCCAUGACAGAUUUUGAAAGUAGGAGAGGAGUGAUAGCAUGAAUAAUUGAUUGUUCCUAUAAGUGCAGCUCAUAGCCUGACUGCAGGUAAGGAGGCAAAUAUAUAUAAAAUAGUUUGGGACAGUUUAAUGUAGAGGGCGUCUAGAAAAGGUUAAGUUAUAGUUACAUCUUCAGUUUUGUUAGUCAGAAAAGUAUGUUACACAUUUUAGGAUUCUCUUCUAAAGUUAAAAAAAAGUUUGCAUAUUAAGACACAGCUUUAGUGGUUCCUGGGAGGAGUGAGAAAGCCUUAUUGAUUUGGAAAUGAAGCAUAGUGUUUUUUUUUUAAUCUCUUGUUUUCUACAAAACAGAUGAAAUAAUAGUGAAAUUGUCAUUGCUUAGACUGGUGUAGAUGUCAGUAGUACUGUUGGGAAAGGGCAGUAAGCCAUAAUAGAGGAAUUGGCACAUCUAGGGGAACAUAAUAUCCGAGGUGGUGGCCAACAGUAUAAUACAAUUUUCAGUGUUUGGACUUUUCGAGGGAACUGCAGAGUGGAAGAUAUUUUCAGGAUAGUACUAAGUUGUUACUUUACUUUUACUGUGUUGAUAUCUGCACUGAUGGUGUUAAAGCAGUGGAAAAUAAAUCUGCUUCUGCCUGAGAACAGAGGUACCAAAUUGUACCAGUGGUCAUUGUAUUCUUCACCAUGCACUUGUACUAAAAACUUGAAAAAAUGGUCAAUAUUUAAAAAUAAUGUUUUUGAGCAAAAAUGUUACUAAAUUAUAUUAAAUAUAGACCCAUGAGUACAUGUCUUAAUAUUGUGUGAUUAAAAAGGACAGUAAGCGUGAAUCACUUCUGCAUACUGAGUUAUGGUGAUUGCCUUGGAAAAUCAUCUGUAGCAUCAUAGAAAACUGCUAUUCAAUUUUUUCACUUAAAACAGUUUACUUAGUAGAAUAACUGUUAGAGAAACUAUGGGUUUUUAUAUUUGACUUUUAAGUAUAUAUAUAUUUUUUAAGUAAAUAAGUGAGCUUCUCCUUUCAAGGAAAACAAUUGAUAGUAUUUGUUACCCAUUUAAAAUUUUGGAUUUCAAACAAAAUUUUAGAAUUUUCGUGAACUUAUGUCCAUCUGUAUGAGCUUUAUAGUUUCACCAAUGCUUACUUACAGUUAAGAUUUUUGUGGUAACAUGAGAUUUAUUUAUUUAUUUAUAUUUUAAAAGAUUUUAUUUAUUUAUUUGACAGAGAUCACAAGUAGGCAGAGAGGCAGGCAGAGAGAGAGGAGGAACCAGGUUCCCCACUGAGCAGAGAAACCAAUGCGGGACUUGAUCCCAGGACCCUGAGAUCACGACCCAAGCCGAAGGCAGAGGCUCAACCCACUGAGCCACCCAAGCGCCCAACAUGAGAUUUAAAAAAAAAAAGAUUUUACUUAUUUGACAGAGAUCACAAGUAGGCAGAGAGACAGGCAGAGAGAGAGGGGAAGCAGGCUCCCCACUAUUCAGAGAGCCCAAUGUGGGGCUUGAUCCCAAGACCCCUGGCAUCGUGACCUGAGCGGAAGGCAGAGGCUUAACCCACUGAGCCACCCAGGUGCUGCUACAUGAGAUAUUUUAAUGAAUAUGAUUUUUAAAAUAACAUCUAAUGAAAUGUGCAACAUUUUGAGGAUCUGCAUGACUCAGUAAACCAAUAUUUUCCAAAUGACCCUUGUAGGGUGUUCCACAAUCAUGCAUGGGUUAAAUAUUCAUUGAAAGGGCAAGACCAGUGAAUUUUAAAAUAACAAAAUAUAAGUCAUAGAUUCCUACGUUUCAGCUGAUCUUUGAGAAACUAUCACUUGUUGAGUUUUGGUAUAGUACCAUUGGAGAAUAUUCAUAAUUAUCUGGAAAGAUAUUAAUAUAUUUAUUUUUCAACUUCAUGUCAGUAGGACUUUCUUCAUCUAUUUCCACCCAAGCAAAACAUUUCAUAAUAGCUAAAUGGAGAAGCUGAUAUGAGGUUCCAGCUGUCUUCUAUUAAACCAAGCAUUACUGAGAAUUGCAAACAUACAUAAAUAUAUGUAAGACAAUGCUAUUCAUUGCUAGGGUUAUUUGGUUUUGAAAGUACAGUCAUUUUGCACAAAAAUUCAUUAUGUAAAAUUUGUUAUGUAUGUGAUAUAUUAGAGUUAGGGUUAGAAUUAUAAGUAACAUUAACCAUUUAAGUUAAUUGAUUAAGUUAAUCAUUAAAUUCAUUAUUAAAUAGGUAUUUUAAGUAUUUAAAAGGCUUUUUAGUUUACUUGUAAAUAAAUCAACUAAAGCUCUUUGUUUUCUCAGUAGUCUUAAGAGUAUAAACUCUUCUAAAAGCUUUAAAACCACUGGUCUGAAGUUCAUGUUUGAGGGUAGGGAACAUGGCAGAUAUAUGUCUGAUCUGGCUCGAUGUUCAGGGAGAUGGGAUCCAAAUUGGUAGGUAGAGCAUAUCAGCAGAUACUUCUAGGUAGUUAUGUUAGUCAGGCAGACCGAUUGUCGUUCCCUGAUGGUUGGUUUAGAUUGGUCCAGGACCCAAAACAAAAGAUUGAGGCGGGGGUGGGGGGGUGGUACCUGGGUAGCUCAGUCUUUAAACAUCUAUCUGCCUUCAGCUUAGGUCAUGAUCCUGGGGUCCUGGGAUCAAGCUCCACAUUGGACUCCCUGCUCUAUGGGGAUCCUGCUUCCCCCUCUCCCAUUCCUUCUGCUUGUGUUCCCUCUCUCGCUGUGUCUCUCUCUGUCAAAUAAAUAAAUAAAAUCUUAAAAAUCCUUUAAAAAAAAAAAAAAAAAAGCUCGAGAUACAGAGCAAGACUCCUAAUAGGAAUGAAGGCUAGUCAUAUAGACUGAGAAUAGGAGGUUCGAGGAAUGCUCCAGUUUGGUGAAAGCAUAGGUGAUCAGGGCCUACCUUUGUCAUACUACAUACCAGGUUUUUGUAAUGGAAUAGUUUCAGUCUUCCUAACUGGUAGGGAAUGGAACUCCAGAAUUACUCCUGUGGUGAAUACCCAGCCUCAAAGAGUCCAGGGAUUGAGUUGCAGUUUUACACUAGGUAGCUACUUAGUUGUUUGUUUAAGUAAUAUUUGGAAGUAGAGAAUAAGCUGUUCCUUCAUAUUUGGAAGUCUCCACAUUCCCAUCUUGUGCUUCCUUGAAGUGAUUCUAAACUUUAUGUAAAAUGCAGUUUAUAGGUUAACUAAACAAUAGUUUAAUGUUACCAGAGAACUCAUGGCACAUGCUCAAGAUGUAGAUGUACUUCUUUUGAUUUAAACUUAAAAAUAAAAGAUCUACCAUAUGGUAGAGUUAUAUAGCUUUAUAAGGUUGUUUAAAUAAAACACAGUUGUCUGAUUUCCCUCAUCCCUUACUUUUCCAUUCUCAGAGCAAACCAAAUCAUGCUGAAAUUUCAGUUUUUCUAUUGUAUCUAAAUAAUACGCUAAUUAACUUUUUUAAAAAAUUUUUCGUUUUAGCCAUUAUCUAUUGACUGCCCACCCUGGAUAAUAUUUAACUCUCCUUCAUACACAUACCUUUCUUACUCCCACCCUGAAUUCAGCUAUAUUAUAUACAUACUCAACUGCUGGUCCUUUCUAUUACCUUAAUGUAUUUAUAUUACGAUUUUUACUUUCUCCCUAUGCAGUAUCUAGCUUUUAAAUAUUUAAGUUUACUGAAGUGUAAUUUAAAUAAUAUAAAAUUCACUCUCCUUAGUUUUAUACUUCUGAGUUUUCACAAAGGGCUUCAGUGUAUAACUAUCACUGUAGUCAAGAUAUAAAAUUGUUUCAUAACCUAAAAAAUUUUUCUCAUGCUCCUUUAUAGUUAGCCCUUUCUCCUCAUUCUCUGAUAAUUCCAGUACUGUUUGUUGACAGUUCUUUGUUUUUUCCCUUGCACUCGUUUUACAUCAAUCAGUGCCACAAAUUAAUUGACCAUAUACGUGUGGGUCUAUUUCUAGACACACUGUUUUGUUCCACUGAUCUCUUUGUCUGUCAUUUUGCUAAUACUGCAUAAGUUUUGAAAACAGGUAUUGUGAGUGCUCCAGUUGUAGUUUUUUCCCCCAAAACUGUUCUGGCUCUUCUAGUUUCUUGGUUUUCCCAUCACUGCCCUAAACAUCCCCUGUGCUCUGCCAGUUUGUGCUUCUCUCUCCCUUAGCCUCAGGCAACCACAGAUCUUUUUACAGUCUUAAUGAGUUUGUCUUUUCCAGAAUAUCAGGUACU
Long non-coding RNA from Mustela lutreola (European mink), 6263 nucleotides. RefSeq lists it as uncharacterized. Lineage: Eukaryota; Metazoa; Chordata; Mammalia; Carnivora; Mustelidae. The transcript has 4 exons. The record is from RefSeq and is a predicted model, not a curated record.